GAUGAACGCUGGCGGCGUGCCUAAUACAUGCAAGUCGAGCGAACGGACGAGAAGCUUGCUUCUCUGAUGUUAGCGGCGGACGGGUGAGUAACACGUGGAUAACCUACCUAUAAGACUGGGAUAACUUCGGGAAACCGGAGCUAAUACCGGAUAAUAUUUUGAACCGCAUGGUUCAAAAGUGAAAGACGGUCUUGCUGUCACUUAUAGAUGGAUCCGCGCUGCAUUAGCUAGUUGGUAAGGUAACGGCUUACCAAGGCAACGAUGCAUAGCCGACCUGAGAGGGUGAUCGGCCACACUGGAACUGAGACACGGUCCAGACUCCUACGGGAGGCAGCAGUAGGGAAUCUUCCGCAAUGGGCGAAAGCCUGACGGAGCAACGCCGCGUGAGCGAUGAAGGUCUUCGGAUCGUAAAACUCUGUUAUUAGGGAAGAACAUAUGUGUAAGUAACUGUGCACAUCUUGACGGUACCUAAUCAGAAAGCCACGGCUAACUACGUGCCAGCAGCCGCGGUAAUACGUAGGUGGCAAGCGUUAUCCGGAAUUAUUGGGCGUAAAGCGCGCGUAGGCGGUUUUUUAAGUCUGAUGUGAAAGCCCACGGCUCAACCGUGGAGGGUCAUUGGAAACUGGAAAACUUGAGUGCAGAAGAGGAAAGUGGAAUUCCAUGUGUAGCGGUGAAAUGCGCAGAGAUAUGGAGGAACACCAGUGGCGAAGGCGACUUUCUGGUCUGUAACUGACGCCGAUGUGCGAAAGCGUGGGGAUCAAACAGGAUUAGAUACCCUGGUAGUCCACGCCGUAAACGAUGAGUGCUAAGUGUUAGGGGGUUUCCGCCCCUUAGUGCUGCAGCUAACGCAUUAAGCACUCCGCCUGGGGAGUACGACCGCAAGGUUGAAACUCAAAGGAAUUGACGGGGACCCGCACAAGCGGUGGAGCAUGUGGUUUAAUUCGAAGCAACGCGAAGAACCUUACCAAAUCUUGACAUCCUUUGACAACUCUAGAGAUAGAGCCUUCCCCUUCGGGGGACAAAGUGACAGGUGGUGCAUGGUUGUCGUCAGCUCGUGUCGUGAGAUGUUGGGUUAAGUCCCGCAACGAGCGCAACCCUUAAGCUUAGUUGCCAUCAUUAAGUUGGGCACUCUAAGUUGACUGCCGGUGACAAACCGGAGGAAGGUGGGGAUGACGUCAAAUCAUCAUGCCCCUUAUGAUUUGGGCUACACACGUGCUACAAUGGACAAUACAAAGGGCAGCGAAACCGCGAGGUCAAGCAAAUCCCAUAAAGUUGUUCUCAGUUCGGAUUGUAGUCUGCAACUCGACUACAUGAAGCUGGAAUCGCUAGUAAUCGUAGAUCAGCAUGCUACGGUGAAUACGUUCCCGGGUCU
RNAcentral lists this ribosomal RNA (1372 nucleotides) under uncultured bacterium. RNAcentral describes it as "bacterial SSU rRNA". It matches the Rfam family "Bacterial small subunit ribosomal RNA", at positions 28 to 1381 of the family's 1533-position model. The record is from RNAcentral.